AGUGAACGCUGGCGGUAGGCCUAACACAUGCAAGUCGAACGGCAGCACAGGAGAGCUUGCUCUCUGGGUGGCGAGUGGCGGACGGGUGAGGAAUACAUCGGAAUCUACUCUGUCGUGGGGGAUAACGUAGGGAAACUUACGCUAAUACCGCAUACGACCUACGGGUGAAAGCAGGGGACCUUCGGGCCUUGCGCGAUUGAAUGAGCCGAUGUCGGAUUAGCUAGUUGGCGGGGUAAGGGCCCACCAAGGCGACGAUCCGUAGCUGGUCUGAGAGGAUGAUCAGCCACACUGGAACUGAGACACGGUCCAGGCUCCUACGGGAGGCAGCAGUGGGGAAUAUUGGACAAUGGGCGCAAGCCUGAUUCAGCCAUACCGCGUGGGUGAAGAAGGCCUUCGGGUUGUAAAGCCCUUUUGUUGGGAAAGAAAUCCAGCUGGCUAAUACCCGGUUGGGAUGACGGUACCCAAAGAAUAAGCACCGGCUAACUUCGUGCCAGCAGCCGCAGUAA
RNAcentral lists this ribosomal RNA (506 nucleotides) under uncultured bacterium. RNAcentral's name for it is "partial 16S ribosomal RNA". It matches the Rfam family "Bacterial small subunit ribosomal RNA", at positions 29 to 523 of the family's 1533-position model. The record is from RNAcentral.